UUUAAUGGUUAUGAAAACCUUGAAUUUUCAGAAUUCUAUAAGAAAACUCAUACCAAGAAGAACAAAGAGUGGAUUGAUCCUAUUUGCGCCGUGAAACAUUCAAAGAUGUUGAGCUUGCGAGAAGAAUCUUUCCAAUUCGGUGUGCAAUUAACAUCAGAGGAGAUGUCUAGGCAGGCACUU
Non-coding RNA from Phoenix dactylifera (date palm), 180 nucleotides. The record is from RefSeq and is a predicted model, not a curated record. Lineage: Eukaryota; Viridiplantae; Streptophyta; Magnoliopsida; Arecales; Arecaceae.